UACAGAGGUCUCAAGCGUUGUUCGGAUUCAUUGGGCGUAAAGGGUGCGUAGGCGGCGCGGUAAGUCGGGUGUGAAAUCUCGGGGCUUAACUCCGAAACUGCAUUCGAUACUGCCGUGCUUGAGGACUGGAGAGGAUAGUGGAAUUCCCGGUGUAGCGGUGAAAUGCGUAGAGAUCGGGAGGAACACCAGUGGCGAAGGCGGCUAUCUGGACCAGCACUGACACUCAGGCACGAAAGCGUGGGUAGCAAACAGG
RNAcentral lists this ribosomal RNA (253 nucleotides) under uncultured bacterium. RNAcentral describes it as "partial 16S ribosomal RNA". It matches the Rfam family "Bacterial small subunit ribosomal RNA", at positions 524 to 776 of the family's 1533-position model. The record is from RNAcentral.